Molecule: ribosomal RNA, 520 nt
Filed under: uncultured bacterium
Lineage: Bacteria
Description: bacterial SSU rRNA
Rfam family: Archaeal small subunit ribosomal RNA
Source: RNAcentral
AACCUCCGCAAUGUGAGAAAUCGCGACGGGGGGAUCCCAAGUGCCAUUCUUAACGGGAUGGCUUUUCAUUAGUGUAAAGAGCUUUUGGAAUAAGAGCUGGGCAAGACCGGUGCCAGCCGCCGCGGUAACACCGGCAGCUCUAGUGGUAACAAUUUUUAUUGGGCCUAAAGCGUCCGUAGCCGGUUUAAUAAGUCUCUGGUGAAAUCCUGUAGCUUAACUGUGGGAAUUGCUGGAGAUACUAUUAGACUUGAGACCGGGAGAGGUUAGAGGUACUCCCAGGGUAGAGGUGAAAUUCUGUAAUCCUGGAAGGACCGCCUGUUGCGAAGGCGUCUAGCUGGAACGGUUCUGACGGUGAGGGACGAAAGUUAGGGGCGCGAACCGGAUUAGAUACCCGGGUAGUCCUAACUGUAAACGAUGCGGACUUGGUGUUGGGGUGGCUUUGAGCUGCUCCAGUGCCGAAGGGAAGCUGUUAAGUCCGCCGCCUGGGAGUACGGUCGCAAGACUGAAACUUAAAGGAAUU